CUUAAGCUUGGAUAAAAAAACGCUUGUUUCAAUCGGAAGAAUGAAGAAAACUGGUCACCACCACCGUCUCCUCCGGUUGCCCAUCUUGGAGUACACUUCUUCGAAGUAAAAAUACUGCCCGUCUCCUCCGUUAACAUCGACUGCUCGCCUAAGAAUUUCCUUCUCAUCAACGAAAGAGAAGGUGAAGAAGGCAGAAGUUGCUCGACAUUCCCUAGAAGCACAAGUUGCUUGAAUUUCUUUGAAGUCGAUGCUCAGCAAUCCCAGGAGGUAGUAGUUGUUGUUCAUGCAGACAUUGGUUCACCAUUAUUACUUCGUGAUUGUUGUUUGUGAGGAUAAAUACCAUUUCAAAUCAAGAAUUUGAAGAUAUGGCUUUCUUGAAGAUAGUGUAGAGCGAGUUGAAACUGAUGAAAAAUAUUAAAGAACAAGUUGAAGUGCAAGAGGAACCCACUUUGUUUUGCGAGGGAUUUUUUAAAGAUGUUGUUUGUAUAUGCUAUAGUUCUAUUUUCUCUCAUUUAAGAGUUGAAAAAAAUAAUGUCAUACAAUUUGAAUUGGUAUAGUUUUUGGUAAUGUGAUACUCUAAUCCUUUGUAAUCAACUAUGAUGUUUAUAUGAGUACUGACUUUUUUGAA
Molecule: long non-coding RNA, 628 nt
Organism: Nicotiana tabacum (common tobacco)
Lineage: Eukaryota; Viridiplantae; Streptophyta; Magnoliopsida; Solanales; Solanaceae
Source: RefSeq, a predicted model, not a curated record